This 19-nucleotide small nuclear RNA is filed under the name Arabidopsis thaliana (thale cress). RNAcentral describes it as "snRNA_12024". Lineage: Eukaryota; Viridiplantae; Streptophyta; Magnoliopsida; Brassicales; Brassicaceae. The record is from RNAcentral.
ACUCUCUGAUGAUGAUUGC